This 1354-nucleotide ribosomal RNA is filed under the name uncultured prokaryote. RNAcentral describes it as "partial 16S ribosomal RNA". It matches the Rfam family "Bacterial small subunit ribosomal RNA", at positions 28 to 1381 of the family's 1533-position model. The record is from RNAcentral.
GAUGAACGCUAGCGGCAGGCCUAACACAUGCAAGUCGAGGGGUAGAGGGGGCUUGCUCCCUUGAGACCGGCGCACGGGUGCGCACCGCGUAUGGAACCUACCCAGUAUAGGGGAACAGCCCAGGGAAACUUGGAUUAAUGCCCCAUAGUCUAUAAUGAGAGCAUUUGAAUUAUAGUAAAGAGGUUACGGCAAAAGAUGAGUAUGCGUUCUAUUAGCUAGAUGGUGUGGUAACGGCACACCAUGGCUACGAUAGAUAGGGGCCCUGAGAGGGGGAUCCCCCACACUGGUACUGAGACACGGACCAGACUCCUACGGGAGGCAGCAGUAGGGAAUAUUGGACAAUGGGCGAGAGCCUGAUCCAGCCAUGCCGCGUGCAGGAAGACUGCCCUAUGGGUUGUAAACUGCUUUUAUACAGGAAGAAACCCCCGCUCGUGAGCGGGACUGACGGUACUGUAAGAAUAAGGAUCGGCUAACUCCGUGCCAGCAGCCGCGGUAAUACGGAGGAUACAAGCGUUAUCCGGAAUCAUUGGGUUUAAAGGGUACGUAGGCGGGCUUAUAAGUCAGUGGUGAAAUCCUACCGCUUAACGGUAGAACUGCCAUUGAAACUGUUAGUCUUGAGUUAUGGUGAGGUAGCCGGAACAUGUGGUGUAGCGGUGAAAUGCAUAGAUAUCACAUAGAACGCCGAUUGUGAAGGCAGGUUACCAACCAUAUACUGACGCUGAUGGACGAAAGCGUGGGGAGCGAACGGGAUUAGAUACCCCGGUAGUCCACGCCGUAAACGAUGGAUACUAGCUGUUGGGGUUGGGUUUUCGGACUCAGCGGCCAAGCGAAAGUGAUAAGUAUCCCACCUGGGGAGUACGUUCGCAAGAAUGAAACUCAAAGGAAUUGACGGGGGCCCGCACAAGCGGUGGAGCAUGUGGUUUAAUUCGAUGAUACGCGAGGAACCUUACCAGGGCUUAAAUGUAGCUGGACAGAUUUAGAAAUAGAUCCUCCUUCGGGCUAGUUACAAGGUGCUGCAUGGUUGUCGUCAGCUCGUGCCGUGAGGUGUCAGGUUAAGUCCUAUAACGAGCGCAACCCCUGCUGUUAGUUGCCAGCGAGUCAUGUCGAGAACUCUAACAAGACUGCCAGUGCAAACUGUGAGGAAGGUGGGGAUGACGUCAAAUCAUCACGGCCCUUACGUCCUGGGCUACACACGUGCUACAAUGGUAGGUACAGAGAGCAGCCACUGGGUGACCAGGAGCGAAUCUAUAAAACCUAUCACAGUUCGGAUCGGAGUCUGCAACUCGACUCCGUGAAGCUGUAAUCGCUAGUAAUCGGAUAUCAGCCAUGAUCCGGUGAAUACGUUCCCGGGCCU